This 465-nucleotide ribosomal RNA is filed under the name uncultured bacterium. RNAcentral's name for it is "partial 16S ribosomal RNA". It matches the Rfam family "Bacterial small subunit ribosomal RNA", at positions 28 to 507 of the family's 1533-position model. The record is from RNAcentral.
GACGAACGCUGGCGGCGUGCUUAACACAUGCAAGUCGAGCGGUAAGGCCCCUUCGGGGGUACACGAGCGGCGAACGGGUGAGUAACACGUGAGCAAUCUGCCCAUCACAUCGGGAUAACUCUGGGAAACCGAAGCUAAUACCGAAUACGACCACCUCCGGCAUCGGAUGGUGGUGGAAAGUUCCGGCGGUGAUGGAUGAGCUCGCGGCCUAUCAGCUUGUUGGUGGGGUAACGGCCCACCAAGGCUUCGACGGGUAGCCGGCCUGAGAGGGUGACCGGCCACACUGGGACUGAGACACGGCCCAGACUCCUACGGGAGGCAGCAGUGGGGAAUAUUGGACAAUGGGCGAAAGCCUGAUCCAGCAACGCCGCGUGAGGGAUGACGGCCUUCGGGUUGUAAACCUCUUUCAGCAGGGACGAAGCGCAAGUGACGGUACCUGCAGAAGAAGCACCGGCCAACUACGUG